ACCAAUAGUUAACCUCCUCCCUCUAUGCACCCACCUCCUUAAUUAUCUACACCUCACGGCCAAACAUGUGGAGAAGGGGGAACACGAACUUAUCUUAUUGGGGGGCACCACCACAAAUCCUCCAUCGAUCUCACCUGAUCCACCGCCCCCGCCGUUGGCUUGGCACGCAUCCAGGUUUCUCCCACUUGAGCCUUCGGUUAUGCUAUCACGGCUGGACAAGAAACUAUCACGGUGCCGCCGGCCAUCUCCACCGCCGGCACCAUCGUGCUCUCCCUGUAAGCCCCGCUCCCCCGGAUCCAUUUUGAUAGUCGCAGCCGGGAACGACUACAUGACAAAGACGCAUAAGGUGUCAGAGAUGCGGUUCAGGGCGACGGGGAUGGCAAGGUCAUGCGUCGCUGCGCCGGGAGACAGCGUCUACACCGCUAGAAGAAGGUCGCGCGGCGCUAAGCAAAGUAAGAGGCUCUCCAAGAUGGUAUAUGCUGCUUCUGUUUACUCACUUUUUUUGACCUUUUCAGCUAAUCAUAGUUCAGUUGUGAGAAGUCAAUAAGAAUUCAGUACUGCCAGAACUAUCCCACGUUCAUGCAGUUCGGUUGGUGUUAUGUUCUAAAUGCUUGGUGAGAUUUCCAGGGCUUCAUUUGAGUUGUGCCUUUCUCUGCAUCAUCCAGGUUCAGCAAAAACAUAGUUUCUCCUUUGUAGUGAUUACAAAAAUUAGGCUUGCUUCUCUCCGUUUCCUAUCUAGAUCUUCAUGUGCAGGUUGUUACUAGCUAGUUGUCUUCAUUAAUUUAGAUAAAUGCUACUUUGUUGACCUCUUGGUUGAUAGAAAUUUAGAUCAAAUGUCAAUAGUGCAGGGGCAGGGGGCUACUCGAUGGCCGAAAAAGUGAAGGUUCAGUUGCGGUUCCCAGAUGCACAGCAGUGGUGCGGCGACUCCCAUACGCACAAGGAUGGCGCGACGACUGCGAGAUGUACAGAAGCGGCACGGCGACUCUACAGUGAUGGUUCAUAGUGCAGCACGGUUACAGAAACUGGGUUGUUCUAGGUCGUGACGACGUUACAUGGUGACUGUGACGUCAAAGGACAACACAUGGUUCAGAUUCAUCAGUAUAUUUUGAGAUGCAUGGCCAGAUGUUGAUUCCAAGGUCGAGAAUGGUGUUGCUGCUGGAUAGUCUUAUGUUAUGUUUUAGGAUAUCAUUUCCGAUGUCAAUGUUUCAAAAAUUGUAAUUUAGAAUAGUUGAGAAUGAUUGAAAGAUCCAAAAUUGGGCUAGUACUAAUUAGUACUCCUAUGCUAGAGUAUCACAACUUGUAAUCUUUGGAUCAUGUUCUUUGUAAUGCAACAGAGGA
This is a non-coding RNA of Triticum urartu, 1338 nucleotides long. NCBI's taxonomy places the organism in Eukaryota, Viridiplantae, Streptophyta, Magnoliopsida, Poales, Poaceae. The record is from RefSeq and is a predicted model, not a curated record.